This 300-nucleotide unclassified non-coding RNA is filed under the name uncultured fungus. RNAcentral's name for it is "sequence contains 5.8S rRNA gene, ITS2". The stretch from base 245 to 300 matches the Rfam family "Eukaryotic large subunit ribosomal RNA", at positions 1 to 56 of the family's 3401-position model. Lineage: Eukaryota; Fungi. The record is from RNAcentral.
CGGCAGCGUCAGAUGUGUAUAAGAGACAGGUGAGUCAUCGAAUCUUUGAACGCACCUUGCGCUAGCUGGAAUUCCGGCUAGCAUGCCUGUUUGAGUAUCAGUUUACUAAUCCCCAGGAUUCUGGGGGAUCUGGGCUUCGUGGUAACACAUGCCUUAAAUAGAUGAGUACUAAGCCAAGUGCAAAUAGAGCCAGUCCGAAAGGAAUGUCUAUUGGCGCUUAGGUGAAGUAUAGACACACACCUUAUGAUCUCAAAUCAAGCAAGAUAACCCGCUGAACUUAAGCAUAUCAAUAAGCGGAGG